AGAUGACAUGUAAUAUUGGAGGCCGGCUUUUCAUUGACCUAACAACUCCUAUUGAAAAGGGUGGGCCUCAUAAGAUGGGACCCUCAUUUGUGUUUCACAGGCUCAGCUGGAACCUUGACAUGGCCACAAAUGAGCUAGAAACUGAACUGAUAAGAUCAUAAAUUAAAGUCAGGCAUCCAGCCGAUGGGCCACACUGCUUGAGCAAAAUGGCUGGACUUGUGAAGAGGCCCGGACGCAGCUUCUGUGGUGUACAAGCGGAGCAUUGAUAUGAAAGAGGCCAUUGGAUGGUUUUUAACAUGGGAUGAGUCGGACUUCAAAGAUGCAAAAAAAGUCAAUUCAAAGUAAUAAGCAGCAGUAUCACCUUUAACAGUAAGUGACAAGACAAGACACAGAAGAGGAGGCCAGGACCUUUGCUUGUGUGCCGACAGCGUGCAGAGGGAGGUAGGACGGACGGUGUGUGGUACAUGUUUGACAGUAACAGCAGCGACUUUCAGGAAGAGGUGCACCCUGGGAAGCCAGAGGACAAAAACAAAAAAAAGACACACAGACAGGUUAGUAAAAAAAAGAAAAACAAAGACACCAAUAGUUGACAGACUGGUUAGUGUAAUGACACCACUGUUAAUUUAGACAAUAGAGGCAAUACAAAGGAGUGACUUCCCAUGUAGAUGAAGCUUUACCGUCAUUUGAAAAUGGGUUGUUUUCCAUAUAUAAAUCCUGUGAAGGACAGCCGGGUCCCAUGCCCGGCAGGGACGCCCCUGCUGCUUAUGUUCCGGGAGAGCCACCAUGGGCA
Long non-coding RNA from Polypterus senegalus (gray bichir), 790 nucleotides. RefSeq lists it as uncharacterized. The record is from RefSeq and is a predicted model, not a curated record. The transcript has 3 exons. Lineage: Eukaryota; Metazoa; Chordata; Cladistia; Polypteriformes; Polypteridae.